RNAcentral lists this unclassified non-coding RNA (1415 nucleotides) under uncultured Neocallimastigales. RNAcentral describes it as "partial contains small subunit ribosomal RNA, internal transcribed spacer 1, 5.8S ribosomal RNA, internal transcribed spacer 2, and large subunit ribosomal RNA". The stretch from base 662 to 1415 matches the Rfam family "Eukaryotic large subunit ribosomal RNA", at positions 1 to 617 of the family's 3401-position model. Lineage: Eukaryota; Fungi; Neocallimastigomycota; Neocallimastigomycetes; Neocallimastigales. The record is from RNAcentral.
UUUCCGUAGGUGAACCUGCGGAAGGAUCAUUAAAAAAUUGGACUCCAUUGGUGAGUUCAUUAAUAAUCCCUACCCUUUGUGAAUUUGUUUGUUUGAAUAAUUUUUUUUCCAAAAAAAAAUUAUUGAAUGUCUUUCCCUGUUUUGGUGGAGCUUGUAAAGUGAAACCAGGCAGGGGAAUGGCAAACAAUAAUUAUUUUUUGAAAAAAGACCUUUUUUAAAAUUAAACUUUUUGUAUUCAUUUGUCUAAAAUUAUUUUUAUAAUAUAAAAACAACUUUUGACAAUGGAUCUCUUGGUUCUCGCAACGAUGAAGAACGCAGCAAAAUGCGAUAAGUAGUGUGAAUUGCAGAAUACGUGAAUCAUCGAAUCUUCGAACGCAUAUUGCACUUUUUUAGUUUACUAAAAAAGUAUGUCUGUUUGAGUAUCAGUAAAAUAUUCUCAUAAAAAACAUUGUUUUUUUAUGGUUAUGAGUGUUUUACAACGAUAACAAGUUGUUUCACUUUAAAUUCUUUGUUAUCAAAAAAAUCAUUAAAAGCUAAUUUUAAAGAUUUUUUAAAAUUGGAUAAAAUUUUCCCGUAAAAAGGAAUAACCUAAACAAUUUUAAAAAAUUAAAAUUGGUUUGAUUUUUUUUGAAACCCAAAGGAAAAAAAAACGAAAUUAACUUGAUCUCAAAUCAGAUAAGGUACCCGCUGAACUUAAGCAUAUCAAUAAGCGGAGGAAAAGAAACUAACUAGGAUUCCCUCAGUAACGGCGAGUGAAGCGGGAAGAGCUCAAAUUUGAAAUCUUCAAGGUUUUACCUUGACGAAUUGUAGUUUAAAGAAGUGUUUUCUGUUGGAGUUUUGGUAAAAGUUCUUUGGAAAAGGACAUCAUAGAGGGUGAGAAUCCCGUAUUUGACCAUUAUCUCCAGCUUUGUGAUACACUUUCAAAGAGUCGGAUUGUUUGGGAAUGCAGUCCAAAAUGGGUGGUAAAUUUCAUCUAAGCUAAAUACUGGCGAGAGACCGAUAGCGAACAAGUACCGUGAGGGAAAGAUGAAAAGAACUUUGAAAAGAGAGUUAAACAGUACGUGAAAUUGUCAAAAGGGAGCGUUUGACACCAGUGUUGUUUUCUCGAAAAUCAAUUAAAAAAGGCCGAAUUUUGUGUUGUAUUGACUUUAUCAGCUUUCUGCACUUUUUUCUUGUCUUUUUUAAUGCACUUUUCGUUUAACAAGUCAACAUCAAUUUCUUUUGUUGUAAAAGGGUCAUUGGAAGGUGGCUUUCUUUUCGGAGAAAGUGUUUAUAGCCUUUGGCCUCUGCAAUCGGAGAGAUUGAGGUCUGCAGCGUAGAUCCUUCGGGUUAGAUACAUUUGUGCUAAGUUAUAGCCUUUCAUAGACAACUUGUUGACUAUGAUCAGUCAUGUAGCUUACUCGCUUAUGCUAUUU